This 581-nucleotide ribosomal RNA is filed under the name uncultured Herminiimonas sp. RNAcentral describes it as "bacterial SSU rRNA". It matches the Rfam family "Bacterial small subunit ribosomal RNA", at positions 102 to 679 of the family's 1533-position model. The record is from RNAcentral. Lineage: Bacteria; Pseudomonadati; Pseudomonadota; Betaproteobacteria; Burkholderiales; Oxalobacteraceae.
ACGGGUGAGUAAUAUAUCGGAACGUACCCUAGAGUGGGGGAUAACGCAGCGAAAGUUGCGCUAAUACCGCAUACGAUCUACGGAUGAAAGUGGGGGAUCGCAAGACCUCAUGCUCAUGGAGCGGCCGAUAUCUGAUUAGCUAGUUGGUAGGGUAAAAGCCUACCAAGGCUUCGAUCAGUAGCUGGUCUGAGAGGACGACCAGCCACACUGGAACUGAGACACGGUCCAGACUCCUACGGGAGGCAGCAGUGGGGAAUUUUGGACAAUGGGCGCAAGCCUGAUCCAGCAAUGCCGCGUGAGUGAAGAAGGCCUUCGGGUUGUAAAGCUCUUUUGUCAGGGAAGAAACGGUGGGCUCUAAUACAGAUCACUAAUGACGGUACCUGAAGAAUAAGCACCGGCUAACUACGUGCCAGCAGCCGCGGUAAUACGUAGGGUGCAAGCGUUAAUCGGAAUUACUGGGCGUAAAGCGUGCGCAGGCGGUUGUGCAAGACAGAUGUGAAAUCCCCGGGCUCAACCUGGGAAUUGCAUUCGUGACUGCACGGCUAGAGUGUGUCAGAGGGGGGUAGAAUUCCACGUGUAGC